GUUGGCGGUCUGCAGUAACUCCCUGCCCUUAUUGCGCACUACCCAGAUAGGAUCGAUCUGCAUCGUCCCCUUUGGAACUUCCUCAGGUCAGUCUCACUGAUGGCCAUCUGGAAUAAUCCACCCCA
Amblyraja radiata (thorny skate) is the source of this 125-nucleotide long non-coding RNA. RefSeq lists it as uncharacterized. The transcript has 3 exons. The record is from RefSeq and is a predicted model, not a curated record. Lineage: Eukaryota; Metazoa; Chordata; Chondrichthyes; Rajiformes; Rajidae.